This 266-nucleotide signal recognition particle RNA is filed under the name Siminovitchia thermophila. RNAcentral's name for it is "large signal recognition particle RNA". It matches the Rfam family "Bacterial large signal recognition particle RNA". From Rfam's summary of the family: The signal recognition particle (SRP) is a universally conserved ribonucleoprotein involved in the co-translational targeting of proteins to membranes. Archaeal SRP consists of a 7S RNA and homologues of the eukaryotic SRP19 and SRP54 proteins. In most bacteria, the SRP consists of a 4.5S RNA and the Ffh protein (a homologue of the eukaryotic SRP54 protein). RNAcentral also lists the same sequence under 1 other name. The record is from RNAcentral. Lineage: Bacteria; Bacillati; Bacillota; Bacilli; Caryophanales; Bacillaceae.
CCGUGCUAGACGGGGAAAUAGCGGAGCCCUGUACCCGCAAUCCGCUCCAGCGGGGUUGAAUCCCUUCCCGAGGCUGUUGUUUUGUAAGGAUCUGCCUCAAGUAAGUGGUGUGGACAUCUGGGUCCUGCGCAAUGGGAACCCAUGAACCAUGUCAGGUCCGGAAGGAAGCAGCAUUAAGUGGGCCAUCCCAUGUGCCGCGGGGCAGCCUGGAUCGAGCUAACUGCUAGAGUAACGCUUAUGAAACACUGUCGACGGAAGGUGCACGG